AACGAACGCUGGCGGCAUGCCUAACACAUGCAAGUCGAACGAGACCUUCGGGUCUAGUGGCGCACGGGUGCGUAACGCGUGGGAACCUGCCCUUAGGUUCGGAAUAACUCCCCGAAAGGUGUGCUAAUACCGGAUAAUGUCUUCGGACCAAAGAUUUAUCGCCUUUGGAUGGGCCCGCGUUGGAUUAGCUAGUUGGUAGGGUAAAAGCCUACCAAGGCGACGAUCCAUAGCUGGUCUGAGAGGAUGAUCAGCCACACUGGGACUGAGACACGGCCCAGACUCCUACGGGAGGCAGCAGUGGGGAAUAUUGGACAAUGGGCGAAAGCCUGAUCCAGCAAUGCCGCGUGAGUGAUGAAGGCCUUAGGGUUGUAAAGCUCUUUUACCCGGGAUGAUAAUGACAGUACCGGGAGAAUAAGCGCCGGCUAACUCCGUG
Molecule: ribosomal RNA, 433 nt
Filed under: uncultured bacterium
Lineage: Bacteria
Description: partial 16S ribosomal RNA
Rfam family: Bacterial small subunit ribosomal RNA
Source: RNAcentral